Long non-coding RNA from Heterocephalus glaber (naked mole-rat), 3078 nucleotides. RefSeq lists it as uncharacterized. The record is from RefSeq and is a predicted model, not a curated record. NCBI's taxonomy places the organism in Eukaryota, Metazoa, Chordata, Mammalia, Rodentia, Bathyergidae.
UCUGUCACCUGUGCACGCGCGCUCCUGCGUGGUGAGGCCGCGAGGAUCCUGGGGCAGGGUGUGAAGCUAAAAAAGUAGAAGUCAAAUUAUUAACAUGCAAAAACUUAAGUUAUCCCGUAGCAGUCAGAUGUCCAGAAGCGUGGGGCCUGGGCUACCUGUUAAAGACCACGGGAGAGGCUUUGUUGGAAGCUGGGAGGCUGGGGCAUGUGGGAGCGCUGAGUCACAGAGCGAGGGGCCCUUGUGUUUUCCAUCUUUCAGCCUCUCACGUAAAGCCCUUUAUUGUGACCUUAAGCAAGUUACUUGUUUGUGACUCCUGUUACCUCAUCGUAAAAUGAGAAUAAUAAUUAGCCACCGGAUGGGGCGGUUGGGAAGACUUAAAUGAGUUAGAUUUAAGGAGCGUAAGAUACGUAGUGCAUAGUAGAUAUUCAAUAAAUAUUAGCUCUUAUUAAUAUCCCUCUCAAUAAGUAGCAAGCAGGUGUCUGGGACGCCUUGGCCCCUUUGGGAAACAGUUUCUAAUUUUUUCUAAUACUUGCACUUUUUUGCCUUCUGAUUAUGACAAGCAAUAUGGAUUCUCUAUAGCGACGAAAUUAAGAUUCCUACAUAGAUAAGAAAAAAAUGAGUUGAUCUAAGAGAAAAAAAUUGGUACAUUGGCACAUGGAUAUAGCAAAUUAAUUAAGAUAGUACUUUAAUGACUGAAAGUUGGAAAAUCCUGGAGUUGGUGUUUUAGAAUGGAGCAGUGAUAUAAGUAAGUUUAAACUACAGAAAGGCUAUUAAGUGUGGAAACAUUUGACUAGGGCAAAGGAAAAAAAAUCACAUGUGAGGCUUACAGGACAAAAGGAGAGAAUUUAGGAGGGAUUGAACCUGCCAGAAAUGUUAACAUUAGGAAAUAAAGACAGAAGUGUCCAAGGCAAUAUUCGGAGAAAAACCCUAGGGAUUUAAUCACCAUUACCGGGCCAGAACCCCUAAUCCAAAACACAGGGCCCCAGAGAAAUUCAGAAUUGGGGGGAUUUUAAUAGUGUAGUACGCAUAUGAAUUUUAACAUCUCCCAGUGGCAUAUGGGGCAGUCGCAUCGCAUGAUCAAACACUAAUUUUUUUCUCUGACAUGUAAGAAUAUUGUCAUCGAGUGGCAUGGGCACCACUGACCACCUCCUGCCAUUUCAGUCAAGAAACAGGUAAGUGUGGUGCCACCUUACAAAAUACCUUUUGGACUUCAGAGUUGUGGAUAAGGGCUUGUGGGAGGUGGUCAGGGUGACUUCUCCAGGUGUUUAGCUUAAGCAGGUGAGUGGGUGAUGAUGAUGUGGAACAACCUAGGGAACAGUUUUAGGGAGACAGUUGUUUCCUCCAGGUUGCUUUGGGGACAGCUAGCUAUAUAGCCAGAAUGUGAGAGGACCAGGAACAGAGAGAGGUGAGCAGGGAUUGGAGGAGACUGUUUUGAAGCCAUUCUGUAAACAGGACGUCCUGUGGGCCGAGAAGAGAUCAGGGGCCUGCAGAUGCCUUGAACUGAGAAAGCCUUCCAGAGCUGCACCUCGGCUUCAUGCUCCCCGCAGACCCAUUGUGCCCUGCUCCUUUGCUGCCUGCAGACACAACCGGAGACCUCGGCUCAAGAAACACUACAACUAAUCGCAGGAGAGAGCUUCCCUCUCAUGGGACAUCCAGUCUACCAAGGGGACAGCGGUUCUCCUAGAGAGAAGAGGGGAAGAGACAGCUACCACUGGAAUUCGUAAAGAAAGGGUUUCUGACAUUUCAAAGUUUAACUUCCACAGUGUCUUGCCUUGCAGUGUCAGUACUGAGAGGUGUGAAGAAAUAAUGCUGGGACAGAAGAAUUGGUAUCAUGGGACAUGUGCAGCUGCCAAGCAGUGGACAGACAGUAGGAUCCCUGAUGAACAGAGUUGUGUAUGGGCUGCCCAGCUGUCUCAGUGUCCUGGUCACAGGAGAGGUGCUGGAGUCCCAGUGUGGCUGGGGACCUUCAGAAGAAGAGUGUCUAGCAGAGGAGAGGAGACUUCCAGGGACCUUCAGGAAGGGUAGGGGCAGAUGAGGGGAUGCAAGAAGGACAUGGAUGUAGAUCAGUGAUGAUGGUAUUCCGGGCAUUGGGACCACUUGACCACAGCAAAGAAUGUCUUUUUUUGUUUGGGGGCACUGUUGAGACAGGAAACCAGAUUAGAAAAGACCUUAAAAACCAGCCAGGGUAUCUGGAAAUGAGGAGUGAUUAUAGACCCUGAAGAAUAAGGAAAAUAUUUCUUUAAGAAUUAUGUGUUUUCUUUAAAAACUAGAAACAUCUUUGGAAAGAAAAAAUUUUUCUCUAGUUUUUAGUUAUUCCCCCCAGACUUUUCAUAUUUCUAGAUGGAAAAUAUGGGAUGACUAUUAAUAACAGUACAGUGGAAUUGCUCCUAUCAGGUCUUGCAGGUUUUUUGUUUUGUUUGUUUUUGUUUUCUACAAGGGAUUGAGCCCAAGGCCUUUGCCCUGAGCUACAUUGUUCUUUUUUAUUUUUUAUUUUGAGACAGAGUCUCACUAAAUCAUUAAAUUGCCCAGGCUGGGCUCAAACUGGUAAUGUAAUCUUCCUGUCUCAGCUUCCCAGAGUGCUGGGGUCCCAGGUGUGUUCCACCAUGCUCAGCUCAGCAGCAGUCUUUAAAACAAAAGCAUCUUGGUGGCUGGCCUGGGGCUUGCAGUUUAUUAGCAUUGCUGAACUCUGCCACGCUCUGGGAGAUGAGGAAAGUAUGAAUGUGUGUGAGGCAUCAUUUAGUUGGACCCAAUAUUACCUGCCGAGCAAGGAAAGACAGGUGGACACCGAUUAACAGCUUGGCUGCUGGCAGAUCCAGGUUCCAAUCUCUGCUUUGUCCUUAUUCAGCCCACAAACAGUCUUAGUUCUUCAGUCUCCUCCUGCAUGGCAUGGUGUUGACCAACAGUAUCUGUCCCAUGGUGUUAUUCUGAGGAUUCACUGAGCCAGUGUAUUAAAGCAGAACAUUUAAAGCCGAAUAUUUAAAGCUGUAAAGGCUGUUACUUCAUAUUAGUAGCUGAUUAUGGAGGACCUAUUAAAAUAGAAAAUUCAAUAGCAUAUAUAUCUCUCCUCUUCUUUGCUUA